GCAAGUCGAGCGGUAACAGAAAUUAGCUUGCUAAUUUGCUGACGAGCGGCGGACGGGUGAGUAAUGCCUGGGAAUAUGCCUUGAUGUGGGGGAUAACUAUUGGAAACGAUAGCUAAUACCGCAUAAUGUCUUCGGACCAAAGAGGGGGAUCUUCGGACCUCUCGCGUCAAGAUUAGCCCAGGUGAGAUUAGCUAGUUGGUGGGGUAAGAGCUCACCAAGGCGACGAUCUCUAGCUGGUCUGAGAGGAUGAUCAGCCACACUGGAACUGAGACACGGUCCAGACUCCUACGGGAGGCAGCAGUGGGGAAUAUUGCACAAUGGGCGAAAGCCUGAUGCAGCCAUGCCGCGUGUAUGAAGAAGGCCUUCGGGUUGUAAAGUACUUUCAGUCGUGAGGAAGGGUGUGUAGUUAAUAGCUGCAUAUCUUGACGUUAGCGACAGAAGAAGCACCGGCUAACUCCGUGCCAGCAGCCGCGGUAAUACGGAGGGUGCGAGCGUUAAUCGGAAUUACUGGGCGUAAAGCGCAUGCAGGUGGUUCAUUAAGUCAGAUGUGAAAGCC
Molecule: ribosomal RNA, 556 nt
Filed under: bacterium 4873K4-B14
Lineage: Bacteria
Description: bacterial SSU rRNA
Rfam family: Bacterial small subunit ribosomal RNA
Source: RNAcentral